CAAACGUUGCAGGAAGGGUGUCUGAAAGGAUGCCCGUCUACGGACCUGCGACGAGGUGCUGCAUGGUUGUCGUCAGCUCGUGCCGUGAGGUGUCGGCUUAAGUGCCAUAACGAGCGCAACCCCUACCGCCAGUUGCCAACAGGCAAAGCUGGGGACUCUGGCGGGACUGCCGGCGCAAGCUGCGAGGAAGGCGGGGAUGACGUCAAAUCAGCACGGCCCUUACGUCCGGGGCGACACACGUGUUACAAUGGCAGGUACAGCGGGAAGCCACCUGGCGACAGGGAGCGGAACCCGAAAGCCUGUCUCAGUUCGGAUUGGAGUCUGCAACCCGACUCCAUGAAGCUGGAUUCGCUAGUAAUCGCGCAUCAGCCACGGCGCGGUGAAUACGUUCCCGGGCCUUGUACACACCGCCCGUCAAGCCAUGGGAGUCGGGAGUGCCUGAAGUGCGUGAGCGCGAGCAGCGCCCUAGGGCAAAACCGAUGACUGGGGCUAAGUCGUAACAAGGUAACCGU
Molecule: ribosomal RNA, 512 nt
Filed under: uncultured bacterium
Lineage: Bacteria
Description: bacterial SSU rRNA
Rfam family: Bacterial small subunit ribosomal RNA
Source: RNAcentral